This 200-nucleotide ribosomal RNA is filed under the name uncultured bacterium. Its description in RNAcentral is "partial 16S ribosomal RNA". It matches the Rfam family "Bacterial small subunit ribosomal RNA", at positions 30 to 232 of the family's 1533-position model. The record is from RNAcentral.
AUUGAACGCUGGCGGCAUGCUUUACACAUGCAAGUCGAACGGUAACAGGCCGCAAGGUGCUGACGAGUGGCGAACGGGUGAGUAAUGCAUCGGAACGUGCCCAGUCGUGGGGGAUAACGCAGCGAAAGCUGCGCUAAUACCGCAUACGAUCUAUGGAUGAAAGCGGGGGACCGUAAAGCCUCGCGCGAUUAGAGCGGCCG